Molecule: ribosomal RNA, 166 nt
Filed under: Elsinoaceae sp.
Lineage: Eukaryota; Fungi; Ascomycota; Dothideomycetes; Myriangiales; Elsinoaceae
Description: partial large subunit ribosomal RNA
Rfam family: Eukaryotic large subunit ribosomal RNA
Source: RNAcentral
CGGCAAGAGCUCAAAUUUGAAAUCUGGCCCUCCGCGGGGUCCGAGUUGUAAUUUGUAGAGGAUGCUUUUGGGUAGCUGCCGGUCUAAGUUCCUUGGAACAGGACGUCACAGAGGGUGAGAAUCCCGUACGUGACCGGCGAGGCGCCCUCCGUAAAGCUCCUUCGAC